This 235-nucleotide long non-coding RNA is filed under the name Panax ginseng (ginseng). Its description in RNAcentral is "long non-coding RNA (PGIN_LNC019237)". Lineage: Eukaryota; Viridiplantae; Streptophyta; Magnoliopsida; Apiales; Araliaceae. The record is from RNAcentral.
AAAACAGAGACAUUCACUUGAGGCACAAUAUUGUACAAGGACUGAUCAGUAUCGGGGUUAUUUCUAUGGAAUUUGUGAGGUCUGAAAAGAACCUAGCGGAUCCGCUUACUAAGGGAUUGAGUAAAAAGGUAGUCCAAGAAGUAUUCAGAGGGAUGAGACUAUUGCCAAUAUUUUGAGUAAAUAAUAUGUGAUGGAAACCCUACCUAUGUGAUUGGAGAUCCCAUGUGUAAGACCC